RNAcentral lists this ribosomal RNA (497 nucleotides) under uncultured bacterium. Its description in RNAcentral is "partial 16S ribosomal RNA". It matches the Rfam family "Bacterial small subunit ribosomal RNA", at positions 28 to 507 of the family's 1533-position model. The record is from RNAcentral.
GAUGAACGCUGGCGGCGUGCCUAAUACAUGCAAGUCGAGCGAACGGACGAGAAGCUUGCUUCUCUGAUGUUAGCGGCGGACGGGUGAGUAACACGUGGAUAACCUACCUAUAAGACUGGGAUAACUUCGGGAAACCGUAGCUAAUACCGGAUAAUAUUUUGAACCGCAUGGUUCAAAAGUGUAAGACGGUCUUGCUGUCACUUAUAGAUGGAUCCGCGCUGCAUUAGCUAGUUGGUAAGGUAACGGCUUACCAAGGCAACGAUGCAUAGCCGACCUGAGAGGGUGAUCGGCCACACUGGAAAUGAAACACGGUCCAGACUCCUACGGGAGGCAGCAGUAGGGAAUAUUCAGCAAUGGGAGAAAGCCUGACGGAGCAACGCAGCGUGAGUGAUGAAGGUCUUCGGAUCGUAAAACUCUGUUAUUAGGGAAGAACAUAUGUGUAAGUAACUGUGCACAUCUUGACGGUACCUAAUCAGAAAGCCACGGCUAACUACGUG